CAGUGUUUAUUUUUUAUAAACAUAAAGAAGAGCCAGUGACUUAUCUCUGCUCAUAAAAUAGCCGUGUCUUGAAAUAAGGUGCAGAGAAACCAGACGAGCAGUGAUUUUCAUCAUUCCUUUGUUUCAGUCACUAAAUAAUGAUUUUUUCGUUUUAUGAAGAUUUAAGUGGUUGUUUUCUGCCAGAGGCAAUCUGGGGUUUCUUGCCACUGUCAAAUGAAGAAUUGGGAGAUCUGACCGGGGCAAACUAAUGUUCACUCUUACCGCCUGUGCCAGCUCAUUUAGUAAGUGUAACUCCUUGUAUCACCGCCAGAUCCGUCAUAUUUUCAUGGGCAGGUAUUCUGUUUGCUGAUGGGCAGUUCAUGAAAAGUUCUGCCUUGCAGUUUGACAGAUUCAUAAGGUACUGGAAGGAGUAGACACCCCAUAGCACCUGCCUUGAUCAGUGAAUGGUAUUCAGUCCUAUUGUAAU
This is a non-coding RNA of Pelobates cultripes (western spadefoot toad), 466 nucleotides long. Lineage: Eukaryota; Metazoa; Chordata; Amphibia; Anura; Pelobatidae. The record is from the annotation of a GenBank genome assembly.